This 301-nucleotide ribosomal RNA is filed under the name uncultured bacterium. Its description in RNAcentral is "partial 16S ribosomal RNA". It matches the Rfam family "Bacterial small subunit ribosomal RNA", at positions 509 to 807 of the family's 1533-position model. The record is from RNAcentral.
CAGUAGCCACGGGAAUACGAAGGGUGCAAGCGUUAAUCGGAAUUACUGGGCGUAAAGCGUGCGUAGGCGGUGAGUUAAGUCUGCUGUGAAAUCCCCGGGCUCAACCUGGGACCUGCAUUUGUGACUGUAUAGCUAGAGUACGGUAGAGGGGGAUGGAAUUCCGCGUGUAGCAGUGAAAUGCGUAGAUAUGCGGAAGAACACCGAUGGCGAAGGCAAUCCCCUGGACCUGUACUGACGCUCAUGCACGAAAGCGUGGGGAGCAAACAGGAUUAGAUACCCCGGUAGUCCCUGUCUCUUAUAC